UGAUUGUCCAAACGCAAUUCUUGUGCAUUUGAAAGCAAGAACUGUAUUUGGACAUCAGU
Molecule: microRNA precursor, 59 nt
Filed under: Limulus polyphemus (Atlantic horseshoe crab)
Lineage: Eukaryota; Metazoa; Arthropoda; Merostomata; Xiphosura; Limulidae
Description: Lpo-Mir-219-P24_pre stem-loop
Rfam family: mir-219 microRNA precursor family
About the family: The hairpin precursors (represented here) are predicted based on base pairing and cross-species conservation -- their extents are not known.
Source: RNAcentral